UGAUCGGGGUUGCGGACAGUGUCUGGUGGGUAGUUUGACUGGGGCGGUCUCCUCCUAAAGAGUAACGGAGGAGCACGAAGGUUGGCUAAUCCUGGUCGGACAUCAGGAGGUUAGUGCAAUGGCAUAAGCCAGCUUGACUGCGAGCGUGACGGCGCGAGCAGGUGCGAAAGCAGGUCAUAGUGAUCCGGUGGUUCUGAAUGGAAGGGCCAUCGCUCAACGGAUAAAAGGUACUCCGGGGAUAACAGGCUGAUACCGCCCAAGAGUUCAUAUCGACGGCGGUGUUUGGCACCUCGAUGUCGGCUCAUCACAUCCUGGGGCUGAAGUAGGUCCCAAGGGUAUGGCUGUUCGCCAUUUAAAGUGGUACGCGAGCUGGGUUUAGAACGUCGUGAGACAGUUCGGUCCCUAUCUGCCGUGGGCGCUGGAGAACUGAGGGGGGCUGCUCCUAGUACGAGAGGACCGGAGUGGACGCAUCACUGGUGUUCGGGUUGUCAUGCCAAUGGCACUGCCCGGUAGCUAAAUGCGGAAGAGAUAAGUGCUGAAAGCAUCUAAGCACGAAACUUGCCCCGAGAUGAGUUCUCCCUGAGACUUUAAGUCUC
This 596-nucleotide ribosomal RNA is filed under the name Escherichia coli. RNAcentral's name for it is "partial 23S ribosomal RNA". It matches the Rfam family "Bacterial large subunit ribosomal RNA", at positions 2236 to 2827 of the family's 2925-position model. The record is from RNAcentral. Lineage: Bacteria; Pseudomonadati; Pseudomonadota; Gammaproteobacteria; Enterobacterales; Enterobacteriaceae.